CCCGUAGGUGGCGCGAAUAGUCGGUUGUGAAAUCCCCUGGCUUAACCAGGGAACUGCAACCGAAACUCUCGUGCUUGAGUGUGAGAGGGGAGAGUGGAACUUCAAGUGGAGCGGUGAAAUGCGUAGAUAUUUGAAGGAACGCCGGUGGCGAAAGCGACUCUCUGGCUCACUACUGACACUGAGGGGCGAAAGCUAGGGUAGCGAACG
This 207-nucleotide ribosomal RNA is filed under the name uncultured bacterium. Its description in RNAcentral is "partial 16S ribosomal RNA". It matches the Rfam family "Bacterial small subunit ribosomal RNA", at positions 568 to 774 of the family's 1533-position model. The record is from RNAcentral.